RNAcentral lists this ribosomal RNA (1372 nucleotides) under uncultured bacterium. Its description in RNAcentral is "bacterial SSU rRNA". It matches the Rfam family "Bacterial small subunit ribosomal RNA", at positions 28 to 1381 of the family's 1533-position model. The record is from RNAcentral.
GAUGAACGCUGGCGGCGUGCCUAAUACAUGCAAGUCGAGCGAACGGACGAGAAGCUUGCUUCUCUGAUGUUAGCGGCGGACGGGUGAGUAACACGUGGAUAACCUACCUAUAAGACUGGGAUAACUUCGGGAAACCGGAGCUAAUACCGGAUAAUAUUUUGAACCGCAUGGUUCAAAAGUGAAAGACGGUCUUGCUGUCACUUAUAGAUGGAUCCGCGCUGCAUUAGCUAGUUGGUAAGGUAACGGCUUACCAAGGCAACGAUGCAUAGCCGACCUGAGAGGGUGAUCGGCCACACUGGAACUGAGACACGGUCCAGACUCCUACGGGAGGCAGCAGUAGGGAAUCUUCCGCAAUGGGCGAAAGCCUGACGGAGCAACGCCGCGUGAGUGAUGAAGGUCUUCGGAUCGUAAAACUCUGUUAUUAGGGAAGAACAUAUGUGUAAGUAACUGUGCACAUCUUGACGGUACCUAAUCAGAAAGCCACGGCUAACUACGUGCCAGCAGCCGCGGUAAUACGUAGGUGGCAAGCGUUAUCCGGAAUUAUUGGGCGUAAAGCGCGCGUAGGCGGUUUUUUAAGUCUGAUGUGAAAGCCCACGGCUCAACCGUGGAGGGUCAUUGGAAACUGGAAAACUUGAGUGCAGAAGAGGAAAGUGGAAUUCCAUGUGUAGCGGUGAAAUGCGCAGAGAUAUGGAGGAACACCAGUGGCGAAGGCGACUUUCUGGUCUGUAACUGACGCUGAUGUACGAAAGCGUGGGGAUCAAACAGGAUUAGAUACCCUGGUAGUCCACGCCGUAAACGAUGAGUGCUAAGUGUUAGGGGGUUUCCGCCCCUUAGUGCUGCAGCUAACGCAUUAAGCACUCCGCCUGGGGAGUACGACCGCAAGGUUGAAACUCAAAGGAAUUGACGGGGACCCGCACAAGCGGUGGAGCAUGUGGUUUAAUUCGAAGCAACGCGAAGAACCUUACCAAAUCUUGACAUCCUUUGACAACUCUAGAGAUAGAGCCUUCCCCUUCGGGGGACAAAGUGACAGGUGGUGCAUGGUUGUCGUCAGCUCGUGUCGUGAGAUGUUGGGUUAAGUCCCGCAACGAGCGCAACCCUUAAGCUUAGUUGCCAUCAUUAAGUUGGGCACUCUAAGUUGACUGCCGGUGACAAACCGGAGGAAGGUGGGGAUGACGUCAAAUCAUCAUGCCCCUUAUGAUUUGGGCUACACACGUGCUACAAUGGACAAUACAAAGGGCAGCGAAACCGCGAGGUCAAGCAAAUCCCAUAAAGUUGUUCUCAGUUCGGAUUGUAGUCUGCAACUCGACUACAUGAAGCUGGAAUCGCUAGUAAUCGUAGAUCAGCAUGCUACGGUGAAUACGUUCCCGGGUCU